Molecule: long non-coding RNA, 1163 nt
Filed under: Cavia porcellus (domestic guinea pig)
Lineage: Eukaryota; Metazoa; Chordata; Mammalia; Rodentia; Caviidae
Description: lncRNA (ENSCPOG00000040406.1)
Source: RNAcentral
CACUGGUACAGAGAAUCAAGAAGGGAGCAAAACAGGAAAGUGAAAAAUGAGAUGUUUGGCUUGGUUUUAUUUAUUUAUUUACUUUACCACUUGUCUGCUUCCUACAGUGCUACCACUAAUAGGGAGUCUGUCUUUAGAGGAAGCGCCACACACUUAAUCUUCUCUAAUUUUUUCCAUUGUGGUUUUCAGAGAAAAACAGUCACAGGAAGAGGGAGAGAGAAUAAGAAAAUUAUCAACCAUUUCUUUCUGUCUCUGUCAAUCGCAUUUUGAAAAAAGAAAAGAGAAAGAUUUACUAUAGAAUUAAGACGUACUAUGUACAGAUAAUAAUCCCUCUGAUGAAUCAUUAUUUACAGCAAAUGCACACUAGUAAAAAAAAGAUUGAAAGAGAUCAAAAAAGGAAGACACAUAUGGUAAACACUGCUGUCAGCUGUCAUCCAACAGAAAACCAGGCUCAUAAAAACAUCACAGUGUAUUCUCCUCGGACUUAUUCAACAUCGCUGGUAACUUCUGCCUCUUCUCCAAAGUCCAAAUGACCACAAAAGGCGAACAUUUUGAUUCAGUUCAUGACAUGGAGGCAGCCACAACAGCACAACUGAAGAGACUCAGAUAAAGGAUUUCCAGAUUUGCUUCAAAAAUAUUCAGUAUGACAGGGGGCAGCUUUCUUUCUACACUCUGUAUUCAUCUGAAUGGAGCUUUCUGCAGUACCUGGAAGCCUCCUUCAUGCGGUCAGUUGGUACGCCCUCACACGCCUCAGUUGUGACUCAUGCGGGCCACCUCAUGGGCCUCUCCUGCACCUUUCCUAUCUGCCUGUCCUUUCAAGCUUUAAAAUGAAGGAGACAAAAGAGGUGGCAAUCCUGAUUGGUGUCUGGCUGAACUGGGCUGCUUUAACAUUUGAAGAGAUGAUCACACUGUGCCUUUCAUUAUCUCCUCUUCUUUCCUACACUUAGCUUUUUGACUUAGCAAUACAUCCCAAAAGAAAUCCCUUAUCAGCUCUUAGAUCCCUGUCCUAUUCCUUCUUCUAAGUGCACUGCACUCUGUGGUAUGUUUAACUUACAAAAUCAAAUGAUUAUACACAGACAUGUAGGUGAGUAGCAAUAUUUUGCAAUUAUAAACAAACACAGCAAAUAAUCAUGUGCUUGCUGCAUUAUUUUGGAUACAUUUUU